Molecule: long non-coding RNA, 499 nt
Organism: Myodes glareolus (Bank vole)
Lineage: Eukaryota; Metazoa; Chordata; Mammalia; Rodentia; Cricetidae
Source: RefSeq, a predicted model, not a curated record
AUUAGUCAAAGCAGGCAAUCCAAAGCUGUUGCCUCUGUUCUGCCUUGCCUUUCCCAUGGGACCCCACCAAAGGCCGGAUGAUCUCGUUCCCAUCUUCUGCCUCCUGAUGAAGCUGAUGUCUUUUCCACAUGGUUCUGUGUGGCAGAUUGUCUCUGGGCCCCUCCUGUCUCUGGAACCUGAGGCCAAUUGGGCCAAUUGCUUUGGUUCUGUGGUGGCAUCAUAGCAAGAGAGUGUGGUAGAGGAAGCUAUUCACUUCAUGGACAGAAGAAAAAGAAAGAAGAAUGGAUUGGGGUCCUAACAUUCCACCCAAGGUCAAAUAUAGAAGAUUUCCUACUGUACCUCAUCUCUGAAGUUUCUGCCUCCAUCCAUGGGAUGAUGACGAAAGCUCCAAUGGACUUCUGGGGGACACUUGUCUGAAUCACAGCAACAUGUUUAUCCCAGAAAUUAAUAUUAUAUAGUACUAUUAAUGCUUUCUAAUAAAUGUCAAUAUUUAGUCAGA